Molecule: ribosomal RNA, 387 nt
Filed under: Haptolina sp.
Lineage: Eukaryota; Haptophyta; Prymnesiales; Prymnesiaceae
Description: partial small subunit ribosomal RNA
Rfam family: Eukaryotic small subunit ribosomal RNA
Source: RNAcentral
AUUCCAGCUCCAAUAGCGUAUAUUAAAGUUGUUGCAGUUAAAACGCUCGUAGUCGGAUUUCGGGGCCUGCCUGCCGGUCUGCCGAUGGGUAUGCACUGGCAGGCGCGUCCUUCCUUCCGGAGACUGUCCCUACUCUUAACUGAGCGGGGUCGGGAGACGGAUCGUUUACUUUGAAAAAAUCAGAGUGUUUCAAGCAGGCAGCUCGCUCUUGCAUGGAUUAGCAUGGGAUAAUGAAAUAGGACUUUGGUUCUAUUUUGUUGGUUGGAGGCCAAGGUAAUGAUUAAUAGGGAUAGUUGGGGGUAUUCAUAUUUAAUUGUCAGAGGUGAAAUUCUUGGAUUUAUGAAAGAUGAACUCAUGCGAAAGCAUUUACCGAGGAUGUUUUCAUUA